Molecule: long non-coding RNA, 2550 nt
Organism: Cavia porcellus (domestic guinea pig)
Lineage: Eukaryota; Metazoa; Chordata; Mammalia; Rodentia; Caviidae
Exons: 2
Source: RefSeq, a predicted model, not a curated record
UACCCACACCACACUUGACAGAUCGCUCCCAGAACACUGGGUGCUUUUAUGCGAUUAGCCAGGAAUGGGUUCUCUGGGAAAUAAAUCCCCUCAGUAUAAAGGGCUUUUAUGAGCCAGGGCAGGGGAUUAAAAGCAGCCGGGCUGUAGGGAAAUCCCGGGGUCAGGAGACAGCUGAGUGUGGAGAAUUUUCAUCUAAACCCUAAACGUUUUUAAUGUUCACUCCCUGAACUCAAGGGCGUCACUUUAAAUACAUGAUAGGCAACAUCAGCUGUUCUAUUUUUCUUUUUAAUUAUACAAAGAGAUCCCGGAAAUGGCUCAGCCCCAGGCUGGCAGAAGGAAGGGAAGUUUGACGGCAGCGGCUGGAGGCAGAGACACUGAACCUGCAGAGAGACCAGAGACCAAACUUCCAGCCACCCUGAACGCCAGUAGCCAGCCUGACGCAGGACGUGUAAAAACCGUCACAGAUGCACCGGCUUAGUUCGGACACAGGGCGUACGGACGCAUCUCUGCAAUCAAAAUAUCACGCGCUCCACUUCUGCAUCUGUCUCCCGAGCUCGUCCUGCAGCCUGUCCUCUUCUCCCCUCCACCCUGUGUCUGCACAAAUCUUCCUCUGCAUCCAUACUGCACCCCCGGGGGCCGGGCAUCGUGUACACGUGUUGUCUUAGGUACUCAACUGGUCUCUCUCUCCCCGGCUGAAGACUCGGGCCACCCCACUCCAGGAUCUCCCUAUUGAUUGCUUAGGGCUGCUGUAACAGCCUCUCCCGAUGUGAGCACUCAGGAUGACAAAACCACACUGUCCCACGAUCCUGGAGGCUUGGAAUCUGUGAGCAGCUGCUAUCUACAGCCACACUACCCUGGAGUCACCAGAUCGUGUGCCGGAGCCCGGGCUAUAGCUCAGCGGCAUAAGCACCUGCCUGGCAAAUACAAGGUCCUGAGUUCUAUUCCUGGUACCAAAAAAAGUAAGCAAACAAGCAAGCCCAGCCACUGUACCUCCCACGCCCUCCCUGCCCCACCAAGGUUCUAGGGGGACCCUCUCUGGGCUCCCUCUGCCUUUGAGUAGCCUCCUGUGUUCUUUGUCAUGCAGAUGACUGUCUUCUCUCUGUGUCUUUAUAAUAUAAAGGACUUGGUGCUGCCAAGACAGUUUUAAAAAGGAACAAAGUUAAAACUCUUACCUCUACUUAAAGAUUGAUUAUCUGAGAGAGGUGGUGCAUGCUUGUAAUCCCAGCACUCAGGAGGCUGAGGCAGGAGGAUCUCUGUGAAUUUGAGGCCAGCCUGGGCUACACAGUGAGACCCUGUCUCAAAACAAACAACAAACAAACAAACAAACAGAUUGAUUUAAAAAAAAAAUCUUGACAGGGUACCACUAAAUUGCCAGGUUCGGGGCUCAUGAUCUCCCUGUCUCAGCCUUCCAGAAUGCUGGGAUAACAGGUGGGUACUGCUAUGGUCAGCUUAUUUUAUUUUUAACUGAAUCCCUCCCCUGUACUCUAGUGCUGGCAUGCAGACCCAAGACUAGAACAUGUUUGGCAAGUGCUCUGCCAAGACCUAUAUCCCGAAGCCCUUGGAUCAUCUGGAUAGUUUUUGUGACACUGGGGAUCAAAUCAAGGGGCAUGAGCUCACUAUGCUACAUGCCAGCCUUUUCUUUUCUUUUCUUUCUUUCUUUUUUUUUUUUGGUCUUUUUCCUUUUUAUUGGUACCGGGGAUCGAACUCACGACUGCCUGCUUGCAAGGCAGGCGCUUAUGCCGCUGAGCUAAAUCCCCAGCCCCAGCCUUUUCAGUUAUCUGUUUGUGGUUUGAGAUUGGCUCCUGUUAUGUAGCACGGACUAGCUUUAAAGUCCUGGUGAUCCUUCUGCCUCAGCCUCUUGACUGCUGGGAUUAUAAGAGUGCACCACGAUGCCUGCCUUGAAUUCUGAAUUUUGCACCCAGUCCCUGACGGUGUCUAACUCCUUCUGUUGUUCACCGAAGUUCUCCUAUUGUGAAAACCUUCUGCACCACUCACUUAAGCUGCCUUCCAAAUUACCUGUGAAGCCAGGACCACAUCUGGAUGACAGCAGUUUCCUGUAUUCCGCCUGGCACAGGGACUCACCGGGAGGCCAAGCCCUGCUCCACAGGACAACUUCUAAACUCUGAGAAAUGCCCUCUACUGACCACACACACGGGGCUUUCGAAGGGGAGAGUCUCCCCUCACUGGAGGCAAACAAGCACCACUGUCUCAGGGCAGGGGCUCAGGGCGUGGUGGUGCUUCUAGUGCUAACUCUGGGGUUUCUAGCUUUAGGGCAGUCAGAGGGGACUGAAGUAACAGGCAAGAGACUGUGAUGGUUCCGGUACACCUGGCUUCCUAACCUGCACUUCAGGAAGCCCUCUGGAGGUUCUGCUGUGGAGCGGGGAUUGAGGUAGUAAAGUCUUAGACUCGGGAUCCACCGCCCGGUUUGAAGGUCUUAUCCUCACUUUUCUUAUCCAUAAAAUGGUGACGUUAAUACCAUGGAGUUGUCCUAAGAAAUUCUCAAUUUUAAUAUAUUUAAUAGAAUAAUAAAAUACUUUAUGAUAGCUCAUA